UAAAUGGAGAGUUUGAUCCUGGCUCAGGACGAACGCUGGCGGCGUGCCUAAUACAUGCAAGUCGAGCGRAGUUGAUGGAGUGCUUGCACUCCUGAUGCUUAGCGGCGGACGGGUGAGUAACACGUAGGUAACCUGCCCGUAAGACUGGGAUAACAUUCGGAAACGAAUGCUAAUACCGGAUACACAACUUGGUCGC
This 196-nucleotide non-coding RNA is filed under the name Paenibacillus sp. Leaf72. Its description in RNAcentral is "Bacterial small subunit ribosomal RNA". It matches the Rfam family "Bacterial small subunit ribosomal RNA", at positions 1 to 189 of the family's 1533-position model. The record is from Rfam by way of RNAcentral. Lineage: Bacteria; Bacillati; Bacillota; Bacilli; Caryophanales; Paenibacillaceae.